This is a transfer RNA of 74 nucleotides. It matches the Rfam family "tRNA". From Rfam's summary of the family: Transfer RNA (tRNA) molecules are approximately 80 nucleotides in length. The record is from Rfam.
GCCUGGCUAGCUCAAUCGGCUAGAGCGUGAGACUUUUAAUCUCAAGGUUGCGGGUUCGAGUCCCGCGUCGGGCU